AGUCACUGAACUUCAGGAGAAACUGAAGAAAAUCACUGGAGAAAUGAAUAAAAUUGAUGAAACGAUGGCACAGAAAAACCAAGAACUUCAGGAUUGCAUCAGAGAAGCUUCUAGAAAACGUAAUCGUCUGGGUUUCUUCACUGCCCUAGUACCAUUUGUUGGACCCUUAGUCAAUGCGAUUUUUAGUUCUAACAUUAGCGGUGAUCUGGCUGCAAGAAUACAGGUGAUAUCCAAUGAGUUGUCUCGACUCUCCAAUGAGAAAUCAAACCUGAGGAACCAGGAGUGGAAAAUGCAUGUCAGUUUGACGAUUUGCAGCUGAAGCUGGUGAACAUGAUAAUGAAAUACGAGUCGAUACCCGACCCUGUCCAUCUGAAUGAUGUCCAAAUCUGCCUCAGUCGAAUCCAGCAAAUUCUGAUUCAGAUUAGGACUUUCUGGGAAACGUGUGAGUGAAAUGCUGGGGGCUCUAAAAAGAGACGUUUGCCAAUGAACACUUCGUCGUGGAUAGUGACAUGAAGGAGUUCUUUCUGACCUCUAUCACCGAAGCACAACAGCAUUGGAAGGACUUUGGUGAAUCCUGCCUGCAGGCCAGGGACAUCUUUAGUUUGCAGAAAAAGAAUUCGUAUUUGUUCCUGGAGAUCAGCCCAUCUUCACUGUCACCAAAUGAAUGGCAAAAACGGUAUAAUGCUGUCAUUGAGGAGCUGAACAAAAUAAGUCCCGAUCCUUUUACUCCCAAAGCCAUUACUGGCUAAUGUACAAGCUUAAGAAGUCUAUACAUACCUAUACCGUUUCAGCAUAACUGCUCUGAAUAACACAUUUGUUAUAUCUUAUGGGGUUUUAAAAAUCUUUAUGUGAGCUAAGUCGUUGGGGAUUUUCAUUUCUCUUAUACCAUAUCUGGUUUUUUUCUGUGAUUAAAUUGCUUUGGAAUUCAAAAUUAUAUAUUUUUUUUUUGUUAGCACAAAAUAUACAACAUUUUCUGAUACACUGGGUGGAGAGAUUCAGUCUACAAAAGAAAUGUCAGACUUGCACGACUUGCAAUUACAGAACAUGAACAACAGAAACAUGAGGGCAUAAAUAUACAUGACAUUUUUUUAUGUAUAUGUCGCUUUCUGUGCACACUGCUGCUUCCAAAUGACGUGGACAUCUCAAAAUGCCUAUUUCAAUAAAAUCUUUAUUUU
Long non-coding RNA from Puntigrus tetrazona (Sumatra barb), 1175 nucleotides. RefSeq lists it as uncharacterized. Lineage: Eukaryota; Metazoa; Chordata; Actinopteri; Cypriniformes; Cyprinidae. The transcript has 3 exons. The record is from RefSeq and is a predicted model, not a curated record.